This 560-nucleotide ribosomal RNA is filed under the name uncultured bacterium. RNAcentral's name for it is "bacterial SSU rRNA". It matches the Rfam family "Bacterial small subunit ribosomal RNA", at positions 338 to 916 of the family's 1533-position model. The record is from RNAcentral.
CCUACGGGAGGCAGCAGUGGGGAAUCUUGCGCAAUGGGCGAAAGCCUGACGCAGCCAUACCGCGUGGAUGAUGAAGGUCUUAGGAUUGUAAAAUCCUUUCACCGGUGAAGAUAAUGACUGUAGCCGGAGAAGAAGCCCCGGCUAACUUCGUGCCAGCAGCCGCGGUAAUACGAAGGGGGCUAGCGUUGCUCGGAAUUACUGGGCGUAAAGGGAGCGUAGGCGGACAUUUAAGUCAGAGGUGAAAUCCCGGAGCUUAACUUCGGAACUGCCUUUGAUACUGGGUGUCUUGAGUGUGAGAGAGGUAUGUGGAACUCCGAGUGUAGAGGUGAAAUUCGUAGAUAUUCGGAAGAACACCAGUGGCGAAGGCGACAUACUGGCUCAUUACUGACGCUGAGGCUCGAAAGCGUGGGGAGCAAACAGGAUUAGAUACCCUGGUAGUCCACGCCGUAAACGAUGAUUGCUAGUUGUCGGGAAGCUUGCUUCUCGGUGACGCAGCUAACGCAUUAAGCAAUCCGCCUGGGGAGUACGGUCGCAAGAUUAAAACUCAAAGGAAUUGACGG